AGUGUGUUAACUCAAUGGGUAGAGUAUUGUGCUACGGACACAAAAGUUAUGAGUUCAAGUCUUAUACACACUU
Molecule: transfer RNA, 73 nt
Filed under: Lactococcus lactis
Lineage: Bacteria; Bacillati; Bacillota; Bacilli; Lactobacillales; Streptococcaceae
Description: tRNA-Arg
Rfam family: tRNA
About the family: Transfer RNA (tRNA) molecules are approximately 80 nucleotides in length. Their secondary structure includes four short double-helical elements and three loops (D, anti-codon, and T loops). Further hydrogen bonds mediate the characteristic L-shaped molecular structure. tRNAs have two regions of fundamental functional importance: the anti-codon, which is responsible for specific mRNA codon recognition, and the 3' end, to which the tRNAs corresponding amino acid is attached (by aminoacyl-tRNA synthetases). tRNAs cope with the degeneracy of the genetic code in two manners: having more than one tRNA (with a specific anti-codon) for a particular amino acid; and 'wobble' base-pairing, i.e. permitting non-standard base-pairing at the 3rd anti-codon position.
Source: RNAcentral